Molecule: ribosomal RNA, 1564 nt
Filed under: Triticum aestivum (bread wheat)
Lineage: Eukaryota; Viridiplantae; Streptophyta; Magnoliopsida; Poales; Poaceae
Description: partial small subunit ribosomal RNA
Source: RNAcentral
GCGCUCUCCACACUAUUUCUCUACCACACUCCAUCUAUAAAAGCCCUUCCAGCCUCUUGCACUCCCUUCUCAGCCGCAGCUCCAGUUGCUUGCAAGUUACAAGGCGUUCAGAGGGGGCAACCAAACACACAGACAGACAUGGGAUCCUUGGGCCCUGCCGUGAACGUGAGCAUGGCCAAGGCCAGCGGCGGCACGGCGGCCGUCGGCGGCCAGCAGCAGCAGCAGGAGCGCGGCACGUUCAGCUGCGGCUUCCGGAUGCCGCUGCACUACCCGCGGUACAGGAAGGCGGACUACGAGGCGAUGCCGGAGUGGCGCGUCGACUGCCUGCUCCGGGAGUACGGCCUCCCCGUCGCCGGCGACGUCGAGGACAAGAGGAGGUUCGCCAUGGGCGCCUUCCUCUGGCCCAGCCAGUACUGAUUCGCCUUCUUACGUCUUGCCACUCGGAGCAGAGGCCGGUCAGCAAGCUAGCGCCGAGCAGAGACUGAUCAGCAAUGGCAGCAGAAAGAUCACGUACGUCCCCAUGUAUGAAGAUGGCGAUAUAUAUUCUUAUCUACUCCCUCCGUAAAAAAGUGAUCUAAACGCUUUUAUAUUUCUUACAGAGGGAGUAUAAUCUAAUUGUAUCUCCAAUUCUCCAUAGAGAAUAUAUAUCAUGCUUCUUGAAGUAUAUGCAUGUAAGCAGUGGAAGAAGGUGUUGUUUCUGAAAUUCAUACGAGUAAUUUAGUGUUUCCUAUGUACGUGCGACCUUGAUCGUUUUGCACAGGCUCCAGGGUCCUAAGAAUCUGCUCUCUUGUUUGAGGCGUGUCAUCUUUCUGCUUGUGUCUUCAGAGUAGUCUUGGUUGUUGCAUGCUUUCUACUGCUCUUACAAUUGAUUACCACUUCACCGGUUACCAUCACACAUUUACAAUUCGUUUAUUGAGUUAUUUGCAGGGAUUCAUGAAUUAAAGAAUUUUUUUUAGAAUUAUUAUUAAAAGGUUCUGAACCUGGAAUGCCUCGCUGACAGUUUCUGAUAGCAACGAGCUAGGCUGAUUAACAGAAGGGAAAUGUUCAUUUACCAAACUGAACAAUGCUUGGGCCUGCUUCCUUCUACAUCAAAUACUUGGGCCUCCUCCUCUCGGUUUGGCAACUUCGAAAAGUUGAUUUCCAAUUCCUUGAAGAUAAGGUUGUGGACUUGCGGCAAGGCUUGUGCCUUGGAUGGGCAAAAUAUUGCCACCACGAGACGAGUAGCACUUGUCAAGUCAGUGUUCACCUCGCAAGUAAUUUGCCACAUCACCGCCCUCAAUCCUCCUCCGAACACUCUACAUGGCAUUAACAAAAUUGAGCGGGCCUUUCUUUUGGCGGGUGCAGAGAAACAACUGGGGCAAAGUGCAAAGUCAAUAGAAACUCUGGCCCAACCGACCUUGGAGGCUUGAGAAUCCUCGAUCUUGCCAAGUUUGCAAGGACUUCUAGGCUAAGAUGGCUUUGGUUCGAACGGAAGGAGCCAACAAAGAUGUGGGUUGGAUUGGGAAAUCCUUGUGAUGAGUUGGACCGCAACCUCUUAUAUGCCUCCACGCACAUUACCAUUGGC